CUCCAGACUCCUACGGGAGGCAGCAGUGGGGAAUAUUGGGCAAUGGGCGCAAGCCCGACCCAGCAACGCCGCGUGAAGGAAGAAGGCUUUCGGGUUGUAAACUUCUUUUGACAGGGAAGAGCAGAAGACGGUACCUGUCGAAUAAGCCACGGCUAACUACGUGCCAGCAGCCGCGGUAAUACGUAGGGGGCAAGCGUUAUCCGGAUUUACUGGGUGUAAAGGGGGCGCAGACGGCAGCGCAAGCCAGGAGUGAAAGCCCGGGGCCCAACCCCGGGACUGCUCUUGGAACUGCGCGGCUGGAGUGCAGGAGGGGCAGGCGGAAUUCCUGGUGUAGCGGUGAAAUGCGUAGAUAUCAGGAGGAACACCGGCGGCGAAGGCGGCCUGCUGGACCGCGACUGACGUUGAGGCUCGAAAGCGUGGGGAGCGAACAGGAUUAGAUACCCCAGUAAA
RNAcentral lists this ribosomal RNA (450 nucleotides) under uncultured bacterium. RNAcentral describes it as "partial 16S ribosomal RNA". It matches the Rfam family "Bacterial small subunit ribosomal RNA", at positions 329 to 794 of the family's 1533-position model. The record is from RNAcentral.